This is a long non-coding RNA of Aedes albopictus (Asian tiger mosquito), 736 nucleotides long. RefSeq lists it as uncharacterized. NCBI's taxonomy places the organism in Eukaryota, Metazoa, Arthropoda, Insecta, Diptera, Culicidae. The record is from RefSeq and is a predicted model, not a curated record. The transcript is spliced from 2 exons.
CUCUGUGGUACCUUGUGGUAUGCACAUAAUAAAUUAUUGUGUUACUUCAUUACGUUUAGCGUGUAUGUUUACAUUGAGUAUCUGUCAUAUGUGGAGAUGUUGUUAUUGUUGUCUGGAGUGUGAAUCAUUGUAUGUAAUAUUGAAGUAUCGGUAAUAAAGUGUAUACAAAUAAUGAAUACAGUUGUUGAAUAAUCAUUACAGAGAAAGAUUCUCACAUUGGCGACGAGAACGGUGAACAGUGCAUGUGAAAUUAGUUUAAUUUCGGUUCGGGAAGUGUUGUCUUUGGAAAAAGAAAGAGAUGAGUGGUGUGUGUGGUGCAUGCAGAGUGGUGAUGACCUUCAGGUGAUGACUUGUGAUUGAAUUUCAACAUUGGAAUCAAAAAGGUACAACCAUAAGUAACAGCCAAGUAAUUUACCAAAAUGCCGAGCAGAGAUGGAUGACCAAAUGGAUGACUGUACUACUAAUUCUGAUGUGAGACUGAAGCGAGACGUUCAUAAACUGAGGAGACUAUAAGCGAAAACAACGUGGAGUGACCUUGCUGCGGAUCUGGAGAAAAAACGAGAUGUGGUACCUUGUGGUAUUCACAUAAUAAAUUAUUGUGUUACUUCAUUACGUUUAGCGUGUAUGUUUACAUUGAGUAUCUGUCAUAUGUGGAGAUGUUGUUAUUGUUGUCUGGAGUGUGAAUCAUUGUAUGUAAUAUUGAAGUAUCGGUAAUAAAGUGUAUACAAAUAAUGAA